GCCGGGCUUAGUAACGUGGGCUUGUAACUCGAGUGAGGGCUUUGAGGUGAUGGGAUGUUGGGUCUAACCAAUGAGUCGGGGCCAAUGGCGAACUGCUGGCUUGCCCGCUCCAAGUGGAGAGUUGAGCUUUGUGGUUCUGGCAAAGGUUGGGACUACUCUGCUCUUAGAGUGGAGGGUACUGCGUGAGGCUGGUUUCACAGAGCAGCGUUCACCUCCCGCUCUUGACAGUGGAUGGAUCACAGGCUCGUGCCACUUGAUCCCAGCUUGGCUCCAUUGGUUGACCUCAAUUAGACCAUCACUUUU
Molecule: signal recognition particle RNA, 303 nt
Filed under: Ricinus communis (castor bean)
Lineage: Eukaryota; Viridiplantae; Streptophyta; Magnoliopsida; Malpighiales; Euphorbiaceae
Description: Plant signal recognition particle RNA
Rfam family: Plant signal recognition particle RNA
Source: Rfam by way of RNAcentral